Molecule: ribosomal RNA, 253 nt
Filed under: uncultured bacterium
Lineage: Bacteria
Description: partial 16S ribosomal RNA
Rfam family: Bacterial small subunit ribosomal RNA
Source: RNAcentral
GACGAAGGAUGCAAGCGUUAUCCGGAUUCAUUGGGUUUAAAGGGUGCGUAGGCGGCCUUGUAAGUCAGUGGUGAAAUCUCUCAGCUUAACUGAGAAACUGCCAUUGAUACUGCAAGGCUUGAGUACAGAUGAUGUUGGCGGAAUAUGACAUGUAGCGGUGAAAUGCAUAGAUAUGUCAUAGAACACCGAUUGCGAAGGCAGCUGACAAAACUGUAACUGACGCUGAGGCACGAAAGUGUGGGGAUCAAACAGG